AUACGGAGGGGGCAAGCGUUGUUCGGAAUUACAGGGCGUAAAGGGCGCGUAGGCGGAUUGUCAAGUCAGAGGUGAAAGCCCUGGGCUCAACCUGGGAACUGCCUUUGAAACUAACAGUCUAGAGGCCGAGAGAGGAUGGCGGAAUUCCCAGUGUAGAGGUGAAAUUCGUAGAUAUUGGGAAGAACACCAGUGGCGAAGGCGGCCAUCUGGCUCGGUACUGACGCUGAGGCGCGAAAGCGUGGGGAGCAAACAGGAUUAGAAACCCCAGUAGUCC
This 274-nucleotide ribosomal RNA is filed under the name uncultured bacterium. RNAcentral describes it as "partial 16S ribosomal RNA". It matches the Rfam family "Bacterial small subunit ribosomal RNA", at positions 523 to 796 of the family's 1533-position model. The record is from RNAcentral.